Molecule: non-coding RNA, 691 nt
Organism: Urocitellus parryii (Arctic ground squirrel)
Lineage: Eukaryota; Metazoa; Chordata; Mammalia; Rodentia; Sciuridae
Source: RefSeq, a predicted model, not a curated record
AUCUCAUUGCUUUGCUUCCUAAAAGAAGUGAUGCCUAUGAGAAGAAAAAUGAGUGGGAGUUAGAUGAAAAUUCAAACAACAUUCCAAGUAGAGGCAACGUGGUAUGCACAGAACACUUUGGCAGUUUAACUUCAAGAGGACAAAUUUCCAAGCUCAUGGUUCUGUCAUCUCUGUGAAGCUCUAGUUAGGUUACACCAGCACCUGGAGCUAUGUACCCAUCUUCCUGGCAAAGUUACUCUUUUGUAUUUUUGAAGAAUAAAGGAAGAGGCUUACCCUCUGAUUCCAUACACAUUUAUUUCAUGUUGACUGAGAUGAGGACUGAGAAAUUUCACUUCUGUUAUCCCUGAUUGAUGAAUGGAUUGAUUAUGGCUAACUGGGCCUAAGUUGAAAAGUUUUGGAGGCUAAUUAAUUCCAUUCUCACUGAAAAUUAAACAYAAUACCUAAUGUGAGCUGACAGCAAGAAAAGCUUACCUUCACAGGUGAUAUUUUUGUCACCUCUGACUUAAACAACUGGUAGUAGAAAUAAUUUCACUCAAAGACUGAGCCUGCACAGAAAUGAAAACAAGCUAGGAGAUAGCAGAAAAAAACAUUUAUGGGUACUAUAGAAGACAGGGGUUUCUCUAUCCAAGGUAAUAAAGGAGAAAGUAACUUCCACUGUGGGAAAUAAAAAGUAAUGAGUUUUGGAAACAGA